RNAcentral lists this ribosomal RNA (408 nucleotides) under uncultured bacterium. Its description in RNAcentral is "partial 16S ribosomal RNA". It matches the Rfam family "Bacterial small subunit ribosomal RNA", at positions 28 to 526 of the family's 1533-position model. The record is from RNAcentral.
GACGAACGCUGGCGGCGUGCUUAACACAUGCAAGUCGAACGAAGUGGCGAACGGGUGAGUAACGCGUAAUCAACCUGCCCUUCAGAGGGGGACAACAGUUGGAAACGACUGAUCAUACCGCAUACUGAAGGAGGGGAUUGCGUCUGAUUAGCUGGUUGGUGGGGUAACGGCCCACCAAGGCGAUGAUCAGUAGCCUGUCUGUGAGGAUGAACGGCCACAAUGGGACUGGGACACGGCCCAGGCUCCUACGGGAGGCAGCAGUGGGGAAUCUUCCGCAAUGGACGAAAGUCUGGCGGGGCAACGCCGCGUGAGUGAUGACGGCCUUCGGGUUGGAAAGCUCUGUUAAUCGGGACACGGUACCGGAAUAGAAAGCCACGGCUAACUACGUGCCAGCAGCCGCGGUAAUUC